RNAcentral lists this ribosomal RNA (467 nucleotides) under uncultured bacterium. RNAcentral describes it as "partial 16S ribosomal RNA". It matches the Rfam family "Bacterial small subunit ribosomal RNA", at positions 28 to 507 of the family's 1533-position model. The record is from RNAcentral.
GACGAACGCUGGCGGCGUGCUUAACACAUGCAAGUCGAACGGAAAGGCCUCUUUCGGGGGGUACUCGAGUGGCGAACGGGUGAGUAACACGUGAGUAACCUGCCCUUGACUUUGGGAUAACUUCAGGAAACUGGGGCUAAUACCGGAUAGGAGCUCCUGCUGCAUGGUGGGGGUUGGAAAGUUUCGGCGGUUGGGGGUGGACUCGCGGCUUAUCAGCUUGUUGGUGGGGUAGUGGCUUACCAAGGCUUUGACGGGUAGCCGGCCUGAGAGGGUGACCGGCCACAUUGGGACUGAGAUACGGCCCAGACUCCUACGGGAGGCAGCAGUGGGGAAGAUUGCACAAUGGGUGGAAGCCUGAUGCAGCAACGCCGUGUGCGGGAUGACGGCCUUCGGGUUGUAAACCGCUUUCGCUCAUGACGAAGCUUUGUGUGACGGUAGUGGGUAAAGAAGCACCGGCUAACUACGUG